This 252-nucleotide ribosomal RNA is filed under the name uncultured bacterium. RNAcentral's name for it is "partial 16S ribosomal RNA". It matches the Rfam family "Bacterial small subunit ribosomal RNA", at positions 524 to 776 of the family's 1533-position model. The record is from RNAcentral.
UACAGAGGUCUCAAGCGUUGUUCGGAUUCAUUGGGCGUAAAGGGUGCGUAGGUGGCGCUGUAAGUCGGGUGUGAAAUUUCGGAGCUUAACUCCGAAACUGCAUUCGAUACUGCGGUGCUUGAGGACUGGAGAGGAGACUGGAAUUCAUGGUGUAGCAGUGAAAUGCGUAGAGAUCAUGAGGAAGACCAGUGGCGAAGGCGGGUCUCUGGACAGUUCUGACACUGAGGCACGAAGGCCAGGGGAGCAAACGGG